CGUGAUAAAGAGCGCGCUGUAUGCAAAAGAUAGUGGCACAAGCUACACUUGAUUCGAGCUCGGCGGAAACUCACUGCGAAGCAUGCCCUUGCACAAUCGAAUUAAUGACAGGAAGCAAUGAUACAAUUACUCUGCAGCCACUUAUUAAACAGAGGCUUGGCUGCGUUCAGCUGUGAUUGCCCGAGAACCAAGAGAAUCCAGUGAAAUCUCGCCGUCUCGUGUCGCCGUGAAUUAGUUUAGCAAGAUCAGCGUGCUCUGAUUCCAGCAACUUUUUCUGCUGAAUCUCGUUACGCGUAACUAACGGAGGAUUAAAACGGUUGGCUUGUGAAAAACUAAGCAAAUAAAUAAUUAAAUAUAUAAAUAAAUAGGUAGAUACCUGGUUGGAAGGAAAAGGAAAAGCGCAAGACUAAUGAGAAAAACUCGACGAAAUUUUACGUGAAACGAGAAUAUCGUAAGAAACUCUCAAGAAUUAUGCAAGGAAUUUUUAUUUCGUGUAGAAAGAAAACAUUUAAGUGGUAAUUACUGACAAUUGCAGUGGAAUCAGUCGUAAUUGCGCCAGACAAGGUACAAGAGACUGUUAUACAAUAAAUUUCUUCACGGAAUGCAGUUAAAAACGUUGAUAAAUUAUCGUUGGAUAUAGAAAAUGGAUAAAAGGAAUUGGAAACUCGCGUAUAACGAUGUUUGGCUUCAUAUGUGAAAUGUGUACAUUACAAUCAUAAUAUGAAAGACAAAGUAGGAUAAAGCGAUAGGUCCAUGUCUAUGCCAUUCAUACUACUAGACAAUUAAACAAAAAUAUCUAAUCUGUUGGAGAUUGAAAGACAAGUUAUGCUAGCAGUAGAUUAAGGAAUGACUACAAAUGACUGUAUUUCCGUCGCAUCAACUGUUUUCAAGGAUAGCAGAUUCAGCUAUCUCCGUCCCCGAAUACAAGAUUCGACAACACACUGUCCCAAGAGAAACGUAUACCAAUAUUUAACCAUAUCCAGUCUGCGGCUAUUUCUGUAGAAUACCAAAAGAUAUGGUUUCGUAGAAUAAAAUUCUCCGAUAAUUUGAAAUCCAUGUAAAAUCGAAGUUGCCAUCGAAGCGUGCAAUAUUUUAUAAUUGACAUAGCGAAAUAGCGUAACAAGGCCGCGUAUUGUAUCCAAGUUUUUCCUCAAGAUAUUAACAAACCUUUUGCUCGCCGAAACAGAAAGCAGCGAGAUUCAGCCAUGAAAACUGAUGCAUCGCAGCACAGAAUUAAAUCCAUCGAAGUUCAAAGUCGCCAACGAAGCGUGCGAUAUUUUACAACUAACAUAGCGAAAUAGCGUAACAAUACGACCAAUUGUGUUAAGAGCUUUUCCUCCAGAUACUAAGAUACUUUUUCUUUUUGUUUGUCGAAACAAGAGCGAGAUACAGCCAUGAAGAAUCGCGGCAGAAUUAAAUCUCAUCGAAGUUCAAAGUCGCCAUCGAAGCGUGCGAUAUUCUACGUUAACACAGCCAGACAGCAAGUAACGAUGCCGCGUAUUAAAGUCUUCUCCUAAGAUAUUAAAACGCUCCUUUCAUAGUGCCGAGGCGAGAGUGAAAUUCGUCCGUGGAAAUUGGAGGAUCGCGAUGGAACCGAGUCCAAUCGAAUGAAAAUUCAGAGUCGCGAUCGAAGCGUGCAACGUUUCGAAAAUUCUCCGGGAUAUUGAGAGAGACACGGCGAGAUAGUGUCGCGAUACAGCGUUACCACUGUCACCGGAAGAGGGAAACGAGGGAAACGAGGGAAACCUGGAGCAAUCGAGGGGUGGUCCGAGUGACAUUAAAGGGUGUCGCGAGUCCUAAAUUGCAGGCCGGCUGGCUAUGUUCGCCCUGUUCCAGCAAGAUAGGGACUCGUUUUGCGUUCGCCGGCAACAGAUACAAAUUUUCUCCACUUAAUUCCAUCGGCCGUAGAAGUCUAAUUGCGCGGGCGACAAGCUGGAAAAGAGUGUCGUUUAAACGUGGGCCCCCGUGGAAAAACCGACGCCCUCUGUAACUGCAUUCGCCGUAAAAUUCCCGUGAAUCUUCGUUCUGCAACCGGAAAAACGCCGGAAGACGUCGUUGCCCGAAGAUGAAUCUACCGUCGAAUAAAUCUCGUCGUGCGAGUUAUACGAAGAGGACGAGGAUCGAUGCUGCCUGGUGACAAUUAAUCCAUUAAAUCCGAGGAUUAUCGAACUGCUACGAGAAAGAACUUUGCGAUAAUCGUAACGAGUUGGCUCGCAGUAAUUGCAACGAGUUGGCGUCGCUGAUGCUAUACCGGUGGUCGGCGAUGUACAAACUGUAAUACUAUGAAUCUUAGUGCCUCGAAGCGUAAUGCCAUGGAGCAUCGUACAACGGGACAGAGCACAGAACUGCGAAGCACAGUGCCAUAAACCAUAAAACGCAGAGAGCAUUAUGAAUCACGAAGCCACAGUAAAUAUCGGAAUUCGCAAUUCCUAUAUCCACCGAAUCAACGCUCGGCCAUUCUAAAUAUCACCAGACGUAAAUUACGAACACAGUGAAAUAAAUCAGCUUCUAUUCGUUGGUGCAACGAGAUUACCACUUUCUCAACCGCCCACGCCACCAAACGUAAUCGCCCGGUAAGCCUGUGCCAAGCAACUGCACAGGUAGACGAGGUACGCUUUACGUAAGACGUUAAUUACACCGCCUUCUAACUUCGCCCUUUAAUUAAAACGCGUAACACAACCAGCAGAACUGGUCUUCGAUUUUUCGAGCAACCGAACCUUUUCACUUCCUCCCCGGUUCUAGUUGGAGAAAGACGAAGAACCAGCUUUCGGAUCGCUACAGGCUACGACGGUGUGUUCUGUCUCGUUUCCCUUCUGGAACAACCUGUCGGCGUGCGUGCCGCGCGAUCUUUUAAAACCAACGUCCACGGGACGCGAGUAUCGGUGAAGGUGCACGCGCGCGUGUAUAACUCGGUUUUCCUUAAUAAACCGCAGCGACGCGACGCCGCGCCGCGAGAAACGUGAGAACGUCGAGGGCGACGAUUCAAGGAGAGAAUUUAUUAUUCGACGCGUUGCAUACUGCACCGGCGGUGAAUUCUCCGGUGACUACAAGAAAUUUACAAACGAAGCUUCAGCCAACCGCGUCUCGAUGCAAUGGAAAACCUGACUACGCCUCGGUUAUCGUAUUUUCCUUUCCGACUGUGUAUGUAUUAUAUAUGGCAGAGAUCAAGUUAUUAUUUUGCUUUUUCUUCUCCUUUCGGUAACCAUUAAAGGAGGAUUGAAAAGAGCCUCUGCUGUUCUUGUUUCUGGUGACUUUCCGCGAUCGAGCGUAGCUCGUUCUUCAUGGUCCUUUGGCCAAGCUUCAUAAUAGCAAAGUGUUUAUUCCUCUAUAGAUAUUUCUACGCAAGAAAGAUUUAGCGCUACCGCAAUGCGUACAGGCGAUCUUUACGCUCCAAGCUCACGCACAUUCAUUGUAAAUAUAUCUACGACCAAACGACUAACCAGGAUUGCUUUCCCACGCGUUUCGAUUUUGUCGCAAACUUCCUAUCGCUCCAACGAAACUACCGGUCGUCAAGAUGUUAAUACAAGGGUCUGUCAAAGUGUCAUUUUUCCAUCUAGAAUCUCGCCAAUUCUGCGAGAGAUUCUCGGAAAAACGCCCAUCGGGGCCAAAGUAUUCAUCUUCGACGUAUCAAAGUCGACUGCACACCUGGCGAUAGCAAAGAACGAACGAUAGAAGAAGGAAUGAUGGAAGAGCGACAUUUUUCACGGGCGAAACAAGGGGCAGAGUACGGAGAUGAUUUUCAUUUAUCCUUGAUUCUCUGGACGGGGAGCGGGAAAAAAGCGUGCGAAGAGGAUGAAGAAACAGGCACGAGCUGCUCGCUAAUCCCUUAAGAGCGUAGCGAACGAAGGGCCGAAGAGCCCGGAGGUAGCGGAAAAAAGGCGCGAUACAAUCCCAUCGGGAGCGGGUUUCAUUGAAAUGCCGAGGAGUUUGCAAGAAAAACAGCAUCUGGGUUAAAUUCCCGAGGAUCUUUCGGCUCCAGUCAGCUUUUCCGGCACGGCUGAUAGAAUUCCCCUUGCGAGCCCGUGAAACAACAGAAGCGGAAGGCUGUGAGGAGCCGAGAGAGCCAACGACGUCGACGAGUUUCUUCUAGCUGUCGGCGAUGUCGCAACGACGAACCAGCCUGACUUUCGGCGCCCGCGGGAAAUAACGCCGUGGACCGAGCUGCAAAUAUGCGCAUCACAGCCGUGAGAUUCCCGAAAGAAGAAUUGGACGACUGCUGUUAGACCAGCGAUAGGAAUUUUUAGGGAAAGACGAGAAGGCAAGAAUCACGAAGAAGUUUGAUUCUUUUAGUUGAUUCUUUAAAUACUACAGUCGGUCGCAAAGAUAUUCGUACACGGAAUAACAUUUUAAGAAUUGGACUUGUGCUACUUUUGGAGCAAACUGGAGGGAUCAGUUGGCGAAAAUGACGUGUGAUGGAAAUUUGUUGAAAAUUGGAAUUGGUAGAAACGACGAUGGAAGUCGUAGAAAGAUACAACCUUCUUAUCUGGGUUUCUAAUGAAAAUUUUGACAACACAUUUUAUAUAAUGUGUAUAAUAUAUUAUACACUACAGAAAUAUAGCCAAAGAAAAAUUACCAAAGUAAAAGGACAAUACUGGCCAAAAGAAGAAUACUGGCAAGAUUCAGAUGUGGAAACGAGACCAAAGCAAGGGAAUACUGGAAA
Bombus impatiens (common eastern bumble bee) is the source of this 4660-nucleotide long non-coding RNA. RefSeq lists it as uncharacterized. Lineage: Eukaryota; Metazoa; Arthropoda; Insecta; Hymenoptera; Apidae. The transcript is spliced from 2 exons. The record is from RefSeq and is a predicted model, not a curated record.